UUUAUGGAGAGUUUGAUCCUGGCUCAGGACGAACGCUGGCGGCGUGCUUAACACAUGCAAGUCGAACGGAAAUAAAGGAGCUUGCUCCUUUAAAUUAGUGGCGAACGGGUGAGUAACACGUGGGCAACCUGCCCCUGACUCUGGGAUAACUACUCGAAAGAGUAGCUAAUACCGGAUACGAAAUCUGAGGACAUCCUCGGAUUUGGAAAGUUUUUCGGUUAGGGAUGAGCCCGCGGCCUAUCAGCUUGUUGGUGAGGUAGUGGC
Molecule: ribosomal RNA, 264 nt
Filed under: Actinomycetes bacterium
Lineage: Bacteria; Bacillati; Actinomycetota; Actinomycetes
Description: partial 16S ribosomal RNA
Rfam family: Bacterial small subunit ribosomal RNA
Source: RNAcentral